GCUCUGGUAGCCUAGUGGUUAGUGCAUCUGCCCCAGAUGCAGGAGGUUAUGGGUUUAAACCCCAGCCAAGUCA
Molecule: non-coding RNA, 73 nt
Organism: Potamilus streckersoni
Lineage: Eukaryota; Metazoa; Mollusca; Bivalvia; Unionida; Unionidae
Source: the annotation of a GenBank genome assembly